RNAcentral lists this long non-coding RNA (563 nucleotides) under Equus asinus (donkey). RNAcentral describes it as "lncRNA (ENSEASG00005028068.1)". Lineage: Eukaryota; Metazoa; Chordata; Mammalia; Perissodactyla; Equidae. The record is from RNAcentral.
CUCAUCAGCCUCCACAUCAAACCUGGUCUUCUUCCUUUCUUCAUGUGGUCAUGACUGAUUUCCUCUGCACAAGCCAGAAUCUAUCUAGCCCAUUAAGCGAAGGCUCUAUGCCAUCCACAAGGCUGACUGCCUUUUAAACACAGAACAUCCGUCUUCCCUACCAUUGUGUGCCUAGCUCUGUGUCUAAUUCCAGGAAUGCCUAAAGCAAACUUACUUCACCAUUUCCACAUUCCACUACCACAGACCCCAGGAUCUGGACCGCCAGGCGUAUCUUCCUUGGAGAGUCUGCUUCUCAUAGGAGAGUCCUUCUCAUCCUUGCAGUGCCUGGCUCAAGCAGCUCCAAGGAUGACGGCACCACUGCAGAUUGUACGAGAUGAGCGUCAGCCAUCACCGCUCACCAUGGGCCUGACUUGCCCGGCCUCCUUGAACCGAUGAGGGUGGUUCAAGCUUCACUCCAGCUUCAAGUGAGUGCACUUGUCUCCAGUUCUCCAUAACAGCAUGUCUGGCUCGUGAGCAAACGAAGAAUCCCCAGGAAACAAAUACAGUUCUGUAGCAGAUUUUAC